RNAcentral lists this ribosomal RNA (492 nucleotides) under uncultured bacterium. Its description in RNAcentral is "partial 16S ribosomal RNA". It matches the Rfam family "Bacterial small subunit ribosomal RNA", at positions 29 to 507 of the family's 1533-position model. The record is from RNAcentral.
AGUGAACGCUGGCGGUAGGCCUAACACAUGCAAGUCGAACGGCAGCACAGUAAGAGCUUGCUCUUACGGGUGGCGAGUGGCGGACGGGUGAGGAAUACAUCGGAAUCUACUUUUUCGUGGGGGAUAACGUAGGGAAACUUACGCUAAUACCGCAUACGACCUACGGGUGAAAGCAGGGGAUCUUCGGACCUUGCGCGAUUGAAUGAGCCGAUGUCGGAUUAGCUAGUUGGCGGGGUAAAGGCCCACCAAGGCGACGAUCCGUAGCUGGUCUGAGAGGAUGAUCAGCCACACUGGAACUGAGACACGGUCCCAGCUCCUACGGGAGGCAGCAGUGGGGAAUAUUGGACAAUGGGCGCAAGCCUGAUCCAGCCAUACCGCGUGGGUGAAGAAGGCCUUCGGGUUGUAAAGCCCUUUUGUUGGGAAAGAAAAGCAGCAGGUUAAUACCCCGCUGUUCUGACGGUACCCAAAGAAUAAGCACCGGCUAACUUCGUG